RNA transcript from Aquila chrysaetos chrysaetos, 5263 nucleotides. It is a transcript of the gene named COP9 signalosome subunit 7A, with no coding region annotated. The record is from RefSeq and is a predicted model, not a curated record. The transcript is spliced from 11 exons. NCBI's taxonomy places the organism in Eukaryota, Metazoa, Chordata, Aves, Accipitriformes, Accipitridae.
GAAGCUGUGGCGGGGCGGGGUGGCGGCUGAGGCGGCCGGCGGCGGGGCCGGGGUCUCCGUGGGGGUCCGUGGGUGGGUGGGCGGGCGAGCGCGGCGCGGUCCCAUGGCGGCCGAGGGGAAGGUGACGGGGCAGAGCCAGGAGCAGUUCCUGCUGCUGGCCAAGGCGGCCCGCGGCGCCGCCCUCGCCAGCCUCAUCCACCAAGUGCUGGAGGCCCCGGGCAUCUACGUCUUCGGGGAGCUGCUGGACAUGCCCGCCGUCCGGGAGCUGGCCGACGGCGAAUUUUCCCCCGUCUUUCGGCUCCUGACCAUCUUCGCCUACGGUACCUACGCGGACUACUUGGCUGAAGCAGCAAACCUCCCUCCCUUGACAGAGGCUCAGAAGAACAAGCUGAGGCACCUGUCAGUCGUCACUCUGGCUGCCAAGAUCAAGUGCAUCCCCUACUCAGUGCUGCUGGAGCAGUUACAGCUGAAGAACGUCCGGCAACUGGAGGACCUCGUGAUUGAGGCUGUGUAUGCAGAUGUGCUGCGAGGGAGCUUGGAUCAGCGGAACCAGCGCCUGGAGGUGGAUUACAGCAUUGGGAGGGACAUCCGGAGGGAGGAGCUAAGCACCAUCACCCGCACAUUGCAGGAGUGGUGCCAGGGCUGCGAGGUUGUCUUGUCGGGCAUUGAAGAACAGGUUAGCAGAGCCAACCAACAUAAAGAGCAACAGCUGGCACUUAAGCAGCAGAUAGAGAGCGAGGUGGCAAACCUGAAGAAGACCAUUAAAGUGACAACAGCAGCCGCUGCAGCAGCCACAUCCCAAGACCCGGAACAGCACCUAACAGAGCUCAGGGAGCCGGCCCCUGGCACCAACCAGCGCCAGGCGAGCAAGAAAACUUCCAAAGCCAAAGGGCUCCGGGGCAGUGCGAAGAUUUGGUCUAAAUCAAACUAGUUGGAUCUCCCUUCACAACUGGGAGGGUAGUCUCAGAGGAAGGUGCAGAGACUGAGGAAAAAGUUCACAUUUGUGUCAAUACUACGUGCCCGUGAUCCUGGACAAAACGGAAAGUGAUGUGGGGACUUGUCUGACAGUUAAAGAAAAGACUGAGAAAACAGACCCUGAGUAGAGCAGAACAGAAAUACCUGGACACACAACACCCUAAGCCUUGACAAAGGAAUGAGGUUUAGGGGAUUGUAGAAGAGAGGGUAUGGAGAAGUGUUCGUCCCGUCUUGAGGAGCAGGAGAUCUGCCAGCCCUAGCAUGGGAAAUGUAAUGACUCUUGCACAGUGAUUCAUUGCAAUCCCUCUUUGGGUCUCACAUGUGGGGCUUGGACAUCUGGAUUCAGGAAAGGGAGGAGGAAGGACAGGACCUGAAUGGCUCUGUCGCUGAUGUCUGACUUUUGCCAGCCGCCCUGUGCUGAGACGUAACCAUGGAUUCUUAUUGGGAAUUGGGGUUAAUGAUGGUAAUUCUUCUUAUUGCAUUACUAGGAGCACGAUUUCUUGUGGGGAGCUUACUGCUCCCCUUCUUGAAGGUGGUGGGGGCGUCAGACAGCAUGGUGCCAGCAGCCCAGUGUCUGUGGUGGUGCCUGUCGGUACCUGGUGAGUGGGGAGAAGCGUAACAGCCAGGCAAGCGCCCUGCAGGACUUGUCCGAGGUUCUCCCCAUCCUCCAGUGGUUUGUGCUGGAGGACCUGUGAAGGUAGAGGUGGUCUUUCUGCUUAGGGCCCUCAGCAGGGCUCCCCUCAAAGGGAGCCAACAUUUUGUUUAUGGGGGUUGCUGAGGCCACCCUUGCCUCUGUCCCCCCAAAUGAGGCAUAUAAGGGCUUGGUUUUUGUUUGUUUGGGGGUUUUUUUGACAAACAGGAGGGCUGGUGCGUAUGAGAGUAUCUGUGCGUGGGGCCGUGUGCUUCCCCGAGCUUCAUGUGGGGGUGCCUCGCCUCUGCUCGAUGGGGCAUUCGCUCGCCUCCCCUCCCCUCCCCUCCGAAGGCUUUUUUGUGGAAGGUGGGUGCCUGACAGCCUGGUCUGUUGGGUGAACUGACCCAGAUGGAUGGGUGUCCCGGUCUGCUUCCCGCAGGGCCGUACCUUCUUGCACAGGCUCUCUGCCGACAGCAGCCACGGAGGGUUGUGCCUGCCUCUUGCCACGGCUGGACCAGCCCCCCCGGGAUGAGGGCCUGGCUCUGCAGAGGAAGGUAGAGUAGUUGGAAGAAUCCCACAGUCCAUGUCAGCAGCUGCAAGCGCAUCUCUCAGAUCUCUGACAUCCUUCUUGUCUCCUUUAUAUGCCCUAGAAUAGCUGCUCAUUUUCCUUCUGUGACCCCUUUCCCUCUCUGCCAUCCUCUCCAUGGGCGUCUGUCUGUGUUCCCACCUGCAGGGCUCUUCUUUCCUCAUCCCAUUCCCUAGUACUAGUCACUGCUUAGCUGCAAUACUCGGAAAAAACCACCUGCUUUCUCUACCAGUUCCUCAGCCACCCACCUCUUGGGUGUUUCUUUUCAGGGCUGCUCCAGUUUUCCGGGAGCAUCCCUGCCGGUGCAGUGCAGAACUGGGCUGGAUUUCUGUCUGCCUUCUCUGCUGGUGGCAGGCUCUGUCACUCCUGGUGAAAGGAGUUCAUUUGCAAAAAUUCUUUGUGCAAUGUGCAAUUAUAUUCAUGUUGCGAUGAAUUCAAUAGGUACCGAAAUGUCAGCUGGAUUCAAGAGCCGUGACCCUUAUAUGGGUAACAAGAAUGUCCAAAAUUACUGCAGCACUUGUGCAUGAGUUAAAAGCAAUUCUACGCCCUCCUGCUCUGAGGCACAAGUGAAGCCACAGCCCCUUCGGAUCAAGAGAAAAUGUUUCUGGAGAGGCUUUGCCCUGUCUCCUGCAGGUUUCCCUGCAUCUGCUGCUGAAGCAUUUAGCACUGGCUUUGGAAUGUGGGAAGAUGGAUGAUCUGUUUGGUGGGAGCAGAAGUGAGAAGGAGGCUUCUGGUGACUGAGUGUGAUCUCUUACCGUGUUUCCAGCCUCUCUCCACCUCAUUCUGCCCACCUCCCCUUCCUCACCCCCCCUUUUAAGCACAGCAGCUCCCUCCGUCUCACUCCAGAUGCUCUACUUACGCCUUAGCAAGAUGCCGAAGUACCACUGAACUGCAUUGCUUUGGUGCUUCAACUAGUCCCAUCUGAAGGUGACAGCUGUGGGAGAAGGAGUGAGAACGGAUUUUGUCUCCAUCGGAUGGAUAAGGACGACUUGGAACCAUGCCCUGCGCAUCUUAAACGAAUGCCAUUUGACUUCCAUGUUGGGAACAUCCAACCUUCUCUUUCUCCAUCCUGCUGGAAGAGCUGUCACAGACAUCUCAGAAACGUAAGAGACUCAUCCCAGGCCUUCCCCUUGCCCCCAUACAGCAGGUGGUCUACUUUUAACAGGAAACCAUUUCACUUGGAACUGUAAUGGGAAAAAAAUUAACCAGACAUAGGUGUGGUCUAAAUGCUGAAGUCAGGGUGGUGUAACAGAGGUGGGCUUUCUGAUUGCGCCGGUGUUCUUGUUUUCAGGCAGCUCAGUUAGAGCAGUGCUGCAUGUACAGACUCGGGCACCUGCUUACAACUUGGAGCUUCUCACAGCUUGUCUAAAGACAGAGGAAGAGGAGUAAAGCACUGGUUGUGCGCACAUACCUUCUUGUGGCCUCUGUGCAAUUCUCUGCAUGCUCUGCCAUUGGAUUAAUAACCUCCGUCGGUGAUCAGUAAGUGAAUUUUUGUCAAACCACGGUAUUGGUGAAAGGGAGAGCCCCCCCCCCCCCCCCCCCCCCCCCCCGCCCCGCCCAGCACAACUCGCAAUUGCUCAGCAAAAGGCACCGGUGGCAGUGCAUCUUACUCCUGCUGGGGUACAGAUCUGCCCUCCCUCUCCUUGCCUUCACAUUCUCUCCUCUUCUUUAAAGUCCCUCAAGCCACUGACCGAAAAGCACCGUCGUGCCCGGAGCCUGGAGCAGCUGAGAAGGCUCCUUCAGCAGAACCCUGAGCGGCAGACCACCAGAGCCUUGUCAUGCCUGGAGAAGGCUGAGAUCUUGGAAACAGCAACUGGGUAGACUGCACCCCCCGCCCCAGAGUGCAAGAGCAUCCAAGGCUCCCAGAUCUGUAAGCAGGAUGGCACCCAACAGGGUGCAGAGGCUGAAUCCAGAUAAAAGGAUUAGGGAUUAGAUCAAGAUGAGGAAUUCCAUGCCCAAAAAGGAAUGGAUCCUCACAUCUUAAAGGUUAAAGUUAAUCCCCACCACCACCAUGCCCCCAUCUCCCCGUUUUCUUUCUCAGACAUCGCCUUAAAGCAUGGCCAGGACUUCGCAGCUGGUUACCACCACCCUCUCGAUGCAGCACCUUUUUGAGCUCAGUUGGUUCUUCGCUGGAUCAAAACACCACUUCCCACAUCUCGCACCAGCUCAAGACUACCACUGAGAUGAGGGCUGCCAUUGCUCCGGUUCCUUCUUUCAAAGUUUGGCAACCCCAAGAGGACUCGUCUUCCACUAAACCCCUCCCAAGCCCUGCUUUUUUCUGUGUAGCUCCUCCUUCAGCCUUGCUCUCUUCAGGGCCUGCCCUGACUAGGACAUCUCCAGAAACUUGGUCCACUCCCAGGAGCAGCUGGCUUAUCCCCCUCCAACUUCACCGUCUCAACCGAGGUCCCUCCCUUCACUCUCCCAGAUGCUGGGGAGACCUCUCCAACUGAGGAGCCACUACCUGAAGACCAGGACCUCUACUGGGGUUUGCUAUGCGACAAAACAGGGCUGGGAAGCGGGGACAGAGCCUGCCAUCAGCUAAGGCUCUGCCCUGCGCUUCCUUGAGGGUGGAACACAUGCAAACUCUGCCCUAAGCUUUCCAGGGCUGGAUUCUGCAUCCCUUUUUUUCAGGGCAAGAUAGUCCUCAGCGAGGUGUCUGUCCCUCUGUUAGGGCCCAUACGUACAACACGGCAAGAUCCCGGCACACCACUUCCAGGUGUACGUCAUGCUUCAAUUUCCUGCCUUCUGUUCUGAACAAGCUGAUGAAAAGGUUUACGUAAGGGUGCGUGCUGGACCAGGAAACCGGCCCAAGAACCCAGGAGAUCUUCCCUGUCCUGUACUCCUAAUGCCUCUCAAGUUUCACCUAAUACUGAAGAAGUUAAGGUCAUUUGCAACAACAUUGGCCUCAGUUGCAGAGAAAUAAUAUGAAAAUAAUGGAAACGUUCCCUGGCUGUGCAGGAACCCCAGAGGCCCAAUUCAGGGCUGCAGAGAUGACCAAGCAGCAAGAAAGACCAACCAAUCUCCCUUGAGCGCACAGCAAAACUACAGCAAUUAAAGGGUAUUUUUGCAAA